AGAAAGCUGGUUCAACACCAGUGCUUACUGACCAGCAAAAUGAAACAAAUACGCCCGUGCCUAUGUCUCGAGGUAAAAAAAGAGCUCAUAUUGCAUGCCUAUGUGUUGUUCAUAUAACUGAUGAGAUGUCAUGCACCAAACUAACACUAAGGUGCCAUAGAUGUGGACACGAUUGAGCUGCAGGGGCAAAUGGUUGGCGAACAUUAUUCGCACAAUGUGGAUGAUGCAUUCAGUGGACAACUUCAAGCUGAACAAGAAAAUGAAACACAAACCCAGUUGUCCAUG
This 285-nucleotide long non-coding RNA is filed under the name Hordeum vulgare. Its description in RNAcentral is "long non-coding RNA (HVUL_LNC006829)". The record is from RNAcentral. Lineage: Eukaryota; Viridiplantae; Streptophyta; Magnoliopsida; Poales; Poaceae.